Molecule: ribosomal RNA, 447 nt
Filed under: uncultured bacterium
Lineage: Bacteria
Description: partial 16S ribosomal RNA
Rfam family: Bacterial small subunit ribosomal RNA
Source: RNAcentral
AGCGAACGCUGGCGGCAGGCCUAACACAUGCAAGUCGAGCGCCCCGCAAGGGGAGCGGCAGACGGGAGAGUAACACGUGGGAACGUACCCUUUGGUUCGGAACAACCCAGGGAAACUUGGGCUAAUACCGAAUAAGCCCUUACGGGGAAAGAUUUAUCGCCGAAGGAUCGGCCCGCGUCUGAUUAGCUAGUUGGUGAGGUAACGGCUCACCAAGGCGACGAUCAGUAGCUGGUCUGAGAGGAUGAUCAGCCUCACUGGGACUGAGACACGGCCCAGACUCCUACGGGAGGCAGCAGUGGGGAAUAUUGGACAAUGGGCGCAAGCCUGAUCCAACCAUGCCGCGUGGGUGAUGAGGGCCCUAGGGUUGUAAAGCCCUUUCGGCGGGGAAGAUAAUGACGGUACCCGCAGAAGAAGCCCCGGCUAACUUCGUGCCAGCCGCCGCCGUAA